AGAGUUUGAUCCUGGCUCAGGACGAACGCUAGCGACGUGCCUAAGAAAUGCAAGUCGUGCGAGGUUAGAGACUUCGGUUUCAAAGCCUAGCGGCGAACGGUCGCGUAACACGUAAGCAACCUGCCUCAAAGUGGGGGAUAGCCCUCCGAAAGGGGGAUUAAUACCGCAUGUGGAAUAUCUAUGCAUGUAGAUAUAUCUAAAGCAGUGAUGCGCUUUGAGAUGGGCUUGCGGCCUAUCAGCUAGUUGGUGAGGUAACGGCUCACCAAGGCGACGACGGGUAGCUGGUCUGAGAGGAUGGUCAGCCGGACUGGGACUGAGACACGGCCCAGACUCCUACGGGGGGCAGCAAUUAGGAAUCUUGCGCAAUGGGCGAAAGCCUGACGCAGCGACGUCGCGUGACCGAUGAAGUCUUUCGGGAUGUAAAGGUCUUUUGCAAGGGAAGAAGUGAGUGACGGUACCUUGCGAAUAAGCCCCGGCUAACUACGUGCCAGCAGCCGCGGUAAUACGUAGGGGGCGAGCGUUGUCCGAAUUCAUUGGGCGUAAAGCGCACGUAGGCGGACCAAUAAGUUGGGGGUGAAAUGCCGGAGCUCAACUCCGGAACUGCCUUCAAAACUGUUGGUCUAGAGGUAUGGAGGGGGAAGUGGAAUUCCUGGUGUAGCGGUGAAAUGCGUAGAUAUCAGGAGGAACACCCGUGGCGAAGGCGGCUUCCUGGCCAUAUCCUGACGCU
This 727-nucleotide ribosomal RNA is filed under the name uncultured bacterium. RNAcentral describes it as "bacterial SSU rRNA". It matches the Rfam family "Bacterial small subunit ribosomal RNA", at positions 8 to 747 of the family's 1533-position model. The record is from RNAcentral.